GAAAAUUACAAGCAUAAGCUUAAAACUCAAAGGACUUGGCGGCGCUUUAAACCCAUCUAGAGGAGCCUGUCCUAUAACCGAUAACCCCCGUUAAACCUCACCCUUUUUUGCUUCCAGUCUAUAUACCGCCGUCGUCAGCUUACCCUGUAAAGCUUACCAGUAAACAAAAAUGGUUCAACCCAAAACGUCAGGUCAAGGUGUAGCUUAUAAAAGGGGAAGAGAUGGGCUACAUUUCCUAUUAAGGGUAACUUACGAAUUAUAUACUGAAAUACAAAUAUUGAAGAAGGAUUUAGCAGUAAGCAAAAAAUAGAGUGUUUUACUGAAAUUGGCCCUAAAGCGCGCACACACCGCCCGUCGCUCCCCCCUAAAAAUAAUACUUUUUUAUAUAAAAAUCUUUGCUAAAAAAGGGGGGACAAGUCGUAACAUGGUAAGUGUACUGGAAAGUGCACUUGGAUAAAU
Molecule: ribosomal RNA, 459 nt
Filed under: Notholebias minimus
Lineage: Eukaryota; Metazoa; Chordata; Actinopteri; Cyprinodontiformes; Rivulidae
Description: Leptolebias minimus partial 12S ribosomal RNA
Rfam family: Bacterial small subunit ribosomal RNA
Source: RNAcentral